RNAcentral lists this small nuclear RNA (107 nucleotides) under Microcebus murinus (gray mouse lemur). The record is from RNAcentral. Lineage: Eukaryota; Metazoa; Chordata; Mammalia; Primates; Cheirogaleidae.
GUGCUCGCUUUGGCUGUACAUACACUAGCACUGGAACGAUGCAGAGAAGACUAGCAUGGUCCCUGCUCAAAGAUGACGUGCAAAUUUAUGAAGUGUUCCAUAAAAAA